UGAUUGGUCACCAGAUCAUAGCUAUGCUACCUGCAACAAGGGCGGAUACAAGAGGGUAAGGAGACACCCUACUGUGAGAAGGCCAAUGUAUUUGCAGGAGUUCAAGAAUGUUGUUCAUGCAGCAGUGGUUCUGGAUGUCAGAAACAACAUCAUGGCAUCUGAUAUGGUGGUACCUACUGUAAAGCAAAAGUGGGUGAUUACUUGAUCGAAGCUGUGAAACAAGAUCAAGUGGAUGGUAACUUGGUUAAAACUGUGGAGUAAAACCAAGUUUGUAACUCUGUCGUUAUUCUCUGGUUAUGUUGUUGGCUUUGGCAACAUUUUUGACAAAAAGGGGGAGAAACCCCUGAACAAACAGAGUGGGUGUCUCUACAACAGACACUCAUGGGGCUCUACAACAGACUCUCAGGACGACAGAUUCCUCCCCUGCAGCAAUGAUGUGUGAAGUUUUUAUUUAACUUCCAUGUGUGUGAGUGUGCUGCCACUCUG
RNAcentral lists this long non-coding RNA (486 nucleotides) under Lathyrus oleraceus (garden pea). Its description in RNAcentral is "Pisum sativum (pea) long non-coding RNA (PSAT_LNC014160)". The record is from RNAcentral. Lineage: Eukaryota; Viridiplantae; Streptophyta; Magnoliopsida; Fabales; Fabaceae.